AACGAACGCUGGCGGCGUGCUUAACACAUGCAAGUCGAGCGGUAAGGCCCUUUCGGGGGUACACGAGCGGCGAACGGGUGAGUAACACGUGGGUGACCUGCCCUCAGCUCUGGGAUAAGCCUGGGAAACCGGGUCUAAUACCGGAUAUGACUCCAUGACGCAUGUUGUGGGGUGGAAAGCCUUGUGCGGCUGAGGAUGGGCCCGCGGCCUAUCAGCUUGUUGGUGGGGUGAUGGCCUACCAAGGCGACGACGGGUAGCCGGCCUGAGAGGGCGACCGGCCACACUGGGACUGAGACACGGCCCAGACUCCUACGGGAGGCAGCAGGUGGGGAAUCUUGCGCAAUGGGCGAAAGCCUGACGCAGCGACGCCGCGUGAGGGAUGACGGCCU
Molecule: ribosomal RNA, 389 nt
Filed under: uncultured bacterium
Lineage: Bacteria
Description: bacterial SSU rRNA
Rfam family: Bacterial small subunit ribosomal RNA
Source: RNAcentral